AUUGAACGCUGGCGGAAUGCUUUACACAUGCAAGUCGAGCGGCAGCGCGGACUAGGGUAACUUAGCCUGGCGGCGAGCGGCGAACGGGUGAGUAAUACAUCGGAACGUACCCAAUCGUGGGGGAUAGCCCGGCGAAAGCCGGAUUAAUACCGCAUAAGCCCUGAGGGGGAAAGCGGGGGAUCGAAAGACCUCGCGCGGAUGGAGCGGCCGAUGUCGGAUUAGCUAGUUGGUGGGGUAAAGGCCUACCAAGGCGACGAUCCGUAGCUGGUCUGAGAGGACGACCAGCCACACUGGAACUGAGACACGGUCCAGACUCCUACGGGAGGCAGCAGUGGGGAAUUUUGGACAAUGGGCGCAAGCCUGAUCCAGCCAUUCCGCGUGAGUGAAGAAGGCCUUCGGGUUGUAAAGCUCUUUCGGCAGGGAAGAAACGGCCCUAGCUAAUAUCUAGGGUUAAUGACGGUACCUGAAGAAGAAGCACCGGCUAACUACGUGCCAGCAGCCGCGGUAAUACGUAGGGUGCGAGCGUUAAUCGGAAUUACUGGGCGUAAAGCGUGCGCAGGCGGUUUUGUAAGACAGAUGUGAAAUCCCCGGGCUCAACCUGGGAACUGCGUUUGUGACUGCAAGACUCGAGUGCGGCAGAG
This 641-nucleotide ribosomal RNA is filed under the name uncultured Rhodocyclaceae bacterium. Its description in RNAcentral is "bacterial SSU rRNA". It matches the Rfam family "Bacterial small subunit ribosomal RNA", at positions 28 to 656 of the family's 1533-position model. Lineage: Bacteria; Pseudomonadati; Pseudomonadota; Betaproteobacteria; Rhodocyclales; Rhodocyclaceae. The record is from RNAcentral.